RNAcentral lists this long non-coding RNA (335 nucleotides) under Chloebia gouldiae (Gouldian finch). RNAcentral's name for it is "Erythrura gouldiae (Gouldian finch) lncRNA (ENSEGOG00005019232.1)". Lineage: Eukaryota; Metazoa; Chordata; Aves; Passeriformes; Passeridae. The record is from RNAcentral.
CUUCAGAGGAGCUGGGCAGCCCGGGCUGUGCGGGUGCCACCGUCAGCCAGCAGCACCCCCAGGGGGAUUGCAGCCCCUGGCUGUGCCUUGCACCCGUGGCAGGUGUUGCAGUGGAGCCAGGACCCUGCAGUGUCCCAGGGGAAUGAACAAGGCUGAACCUGAGACAGAGCCAGGCUGAGCUGGGGCCCCAGGGGCACCUCCACUCCUGGAGGAGAACCUCUUCUUGGAGAGCCUGAUGGGAACAUCUGCCGUGGCUUCUGUGGAUGCUCUUGAAGAGGGAGUGAAGCAGACACAUGGUGACUGGCACCCGGCCCAAUGAGGGAGGAGGGGGAGGA